CCUGUUGAGCUCCCCCGAGCUCCCCUGGUGGUCAGAAAAGGGAAAUAUCUCAAUAACGGCAGCCCUCCCAGCCAGAGAGCUUAAAGAGCAAGUAACGUCUAAAUUAACUUUUUUUUGCUGAUGAACUGUAUAAAUGAGUGUCUAAUAGUGUUUUAAAUGUGUGUAUUCAUUAUUUUAGCAUUUUGGUGCAUUUUCUUUAAAAAUUAAAAAUUCUGCCUAAAUACUACAGUAUAGCUCCACCUUCAGCUUAAAACAUAGAAUUUGACUCAUUUUGAAUAAAUUUUAGCGAAUGGCUAAAGAGUAAGAUACUACGUAAACCAGUAGAGUACUACGUAGCAGCUCUGUGUCAAAGUUAUAAAGCAACGAGCGUCUCGGCCACGCCUUGUGGCGAGUUGGGAGUUGGAUUUGCAAGCGAGUGUAGGAGGCUAGCCGUAGUUCAGCAUUAGCAUAUAGCAUUAGCAUAUCCUAGUCUUUAGCAUAGCUUUUAGUGUUAUACAUACUUAUUUACAUACUUGGCUGUUGGAUAUUGUAGUUUAGUUAGUGUUUGGCUGUUAGUGUAAUUAGGAAAGUAGUUCGGGUUUAGUGCUCCAUAUCGUGUUAGCAUGGUGAGAUGGUGUAGUGUAGUAUGGUUGCGGUAGCUCUGUGGGGUUGCACUCCUUUCCGCUGGACUCCCGCCUGGUGCUGUAGUUUACAACCAGCAUUUUACCCGCGAUUCUGCACGUCUCCGUUUGAAGAGGGAGGCUGUGCCCACCGUGGCUCUUCCGCGAUUUAGGUGCAGCCCGCCGACUCUGCUCCCCCACCACGGCGGGCUCCAGUCUGAGGUGAGUCAGCUAAAUAAAGUUUUAACGUCUUCUAAAGACAAUUCCCUACCUAAAUGCAAAGUCCGAGAGACGUGGUUCACUUCCUUUAGCUAGUCAGUCGGUAAUUCUGCAACAGUGUCUCUAACUAACGCAGCACUAGUUGACAGACAGCAUUACAGUGUGAAAUCCAGCUUGUGACCCGGUUCUGUGAGGAAUUCUGUUCAGGAGGUCGCAUUUCAGGCUCUCCACAUCAUAUGUGACUGACUUUUACGUUAUAACAACGAUCACACACUAGGAAUGUUAGAAAGCACCUUUAUAGGACAGUUUCUUUUGUAUUUUAUCUGACUUUAUAAACUCCCAACAACAAUGUGCUUCUAUUUUUUUUUCAGGCUAAAUCUACCCAAGACACUGGCUGUCAGACUGAUUUAGCUGCAAGAAUGCACUUGUCCAGGCUGAUGUGAAGCUUUACCGGCGUAGCAAAGGUGAAUUAUUUUUAAUAAUCUUCUAUGUAAACAUUUUAUUAUUACCUUCUAGUUUUAAUUUGUUUUACAGAUUAUUGUUACACAUGAUUUUAUGCUCUUUUAAACAUUUAUAAAUGUGCUGCUUCUUUGUUUUUGUACAUAGCCAGCCAGAAGAGCUCACAGCCUCAGUGUGUCUUGUGACACGGGGACCUUGAUGGAAAUUCAUCUUCCAGAAAGUCGCAGAGCAGCGUCUACACCCCCUGAAAAGACCACGAUGUGAGGUGUCUGCUGUUGAUUCCAGCUUCCACCUCAGUGACAGUGCAAGCUCAGUGAACUGUUCAAGGAGGCUACUGAUUCUGGCCCUGUGACACUUGGUGGUGACGUGUGAGCUGAUUCACCUGGACACUCAGCAAAAUAUGGACUCUACACCAUGAGGCAGGCACACGUUAAUACUUAUAAGAGCACAUAAGCCUGGCUGAUCACCUGAUAACUCCUGUCAUCUGGUUGUGACAGCAUGAGGAUGUCCUCACACACCUGUAACCUAUCAGCUCAUCUGGCAGAAAAGAGAGAGAAGAGACAACACCACAUCUCCUGUUCCUGGAAAGCCUUCAGCCAUCCUUCGAUGACUGAGAACCUCCUUCAGCUCGGUCUCCUGUCUGCCUACAAUUAUUAUAAUAAAUAUUGUGUUUGACAAGUUUUUUGUGCUGCCAAAUAUCUCAUUUUGAUUCCAGUUUUGAUAUUUUAAUGGAUAUUUAUAAAUUACAUUAAUUGAAUUAUCACAUUGUCGCAUGUUUAACUAGCUCUAUUGUGAUGAAUUAAACUAGCACCUCACUGUUAAAAGCUCGUUUUAAUUUCAAGCAUGUUUAAGUAUUUAUGGACAUGAACAAAAAUAGGAAAUCUAUCAAUUGAGAUUUAUUUAAUUAAUAUAACAAAUAAGGGGGCAAGAGUCAUUGAAAGGCACAUUCUUCUGGAAGCUCCUGAUCCUGACGACACCAGCAGAGGAGACCACCUGCAGACACCAGAGACCACCUGCAGACACCAGAGGACCUAGAACCGAGAGAGCAGCUGUUAUUAGUAAAUAAAUAAAGAAAUCAGGGCAGUUUUAGUGGGCUGAACACAUUACAGAAUAAUUUUCUCAUGGGAUAUUUUCAUAACUUUAUGCAGCAGACUGUAACUUGAGCCCAAGGCUCCUGGAGACCUGCUAUCCAGCACGUUUCAGUGGUUUUCCUGCUUUAACAGGUUAGAUUAGCUGUUAAGCAGCUCAGCUAUUUGUUGCUGAUUAAAGCCAGGUGUGUUGAAGCAGAUAAACCUCUAACACAUGCUGAAUACUAGCUCUAGGGCCGUGGAGACAAACCCUGCAGCUAAUCUGAUGCUAUGGCUAACGGCUACUUACGUUCAGAGAUGGUUCUGUUGGGUCGGUUCCUGUAGUUUCAGGCAACUCACAAGCUCAAAACAAUAAGGCUCAGGUCCGCUUGUCUCCUCCAAAUAGACUUGGUCCCUUUCUUCUCGAGUGUCUGUGUAAGGAGGGGGAGAAACGUCCUCCACUUCUAAUGACUGCUCAGAGUGAAGGGAGCUAGCAUCGUCAAGUUAGCCGUCGUCGUCGUCACUGCCGCGGCUCCGCCCUCUCGGUCCUCCAGGUAACGUCUACUAAUGUUGCAGUUUUUAAAAUUGAUACGUGGGUGGAGUAAGACUCUGAGGGGGGAGUGACAACUUCUUUAA
Nothobranchius furzeri (turquoise killifish) is the source of this 2980-nucleotide non-coding RNA. NCBI's taxonomy places the organism in Eukaryota, Metazoa, Chordata, Actinopteri, Cyprinodontiformes, Nothobranchiidae. The record is from RefSeq and is a predicted model, not a curated record.